Molecule: long non-coding RNA, 1063 nt
Organism: Coccinella septempunctata (seven-spotted ladybird)
Lineage: Eukaryota; Metazoa; Arthropoda; Insecta; Coleoptera; Coccinellidae
Exons: 2
Source: RefSeq, a predicted model, not a curated record
GCUGAAAAAAAUAUGAGAGACCCACACUAUAUAUUUUUGACAAGGAAUCACCCCUUAAAUUUUUUCCCAACCAUUCAUUUACACCCGUAUAUUGUCAAAAAUUCUCCUUCAUUAUGAAGCUUGAUUGGAGCUUAUAUUUGAAGAAUACGUGUAAAAAAACUUUGAAAUGGAUUUUGGUCAGAAAAUUCACCCUGCAAAAUAAACAGCGGUGAAAUACAACAAAAACAUCAACGAUCUUACCCAACUUUCGGAUUGAUACAUUUGUAAUACUUAAGCAACUAUGCAAGUUCAAUUUCUGCAUUUCCUGUAGAAUAAACAAUAACUCCUGCUUCCAAUAUUAGCAAACAAAAACAACUGUUCCACUACUAACAUUGUUACAUUAUGAACCUGUAAUUACAAAUAGUACUUUCGUGUGAUUUUUAUCACCUUUCAAGCUAUAUUCCUGGCUGUUAUUUCAAAAUCGUAUGAGUUAUGAACAAUCCACAACAAUGCAAUAGUUCGGUUACUACAGAACCAAGUUAUGAAGAAGAACAAGUGAGAAUUAAUUCUACUGUGAGACAGAUUCAAUUCAAACCAAUUUUUUCGGAAUAAAUAUAUUUUGCAUAUGCUAUAAGGAAACAUGGGCCUGAAGGGUGUUUGUGGAAAGACGAUAACAAACAUGUCUUAUUACGCCUUCCUCUUUGGCUUAAACGUCUGCUUUGGAUGCGUCAUAUUUUUUAUGGUAGUUAGACAUAUGUUGGCCAACAUGAACUCUGCCAAUGGGAAAAGGUACCGGUACGCCUUAUCCUGAGAUCUUCCUUAUAGGCGAUAUAAAUUAUUCAACAAAGUUAAACUUGUGAUAAAAUAAGUCUGAAAAGCGGUUUUCCUUGUUAUACAAGGGUAUUUAUUAGUCUUCUGAUGUACGAAAAUUGGAAUAUUCUGUGUUGUACAUGGAUAUGUUGUUCUGUCAAAUUGUAACUAUUCUACAAUAGGUGAUGACCUUCAAACGUCAUUUACCCAUUUCAAUUUAUGUUGUGACUGUAAAAAUGUUGAUUGUUUAAUAAAUUAUCUUUGACCAUACGAA